RNAcentral lists this ribosomal RNA (1438 nucleotides) under uncultured bacterium. RNAcentral describes it as "bacterial SSU rRNA". It matches the Rfam family "Bacterial small subunit ribosomal RNA". The record is from RNAcentral.
ACGAACGCUGGCGGCGUGCCUCAUACAUGCAAGUCGAGCGGAUGUAGUAAUACAUCAGCGGCGGACGGGUGAGUAACACGUGGGCAACCUGGCCUUAAGAGGGGGAUAACGUCCCGAAAGGGACGCUAAUACCGCGUAAAUCAACGAAAUCGCAUGAUUUUGUUGGAAAAGGAGAAAUCCGCUUAAGGAUGGGCCCGCGGCCUAUUAGCUAGUUGGUAGGGUAACGGCCUACCAAGGCGACGAUAGGUAGCCGACCUGAGAGGGUGAACGGCCACACUGGAACUGAGAAACGGUCCAGACUCCUACGGGAGGCAGCAGUAGGGAAUAUUCCGCAAUGGGCGAAAGCCUGACGGAGCAACGCCGCGUGAGUGAAGAAGGUUUUCGGAUCGUAAAGCUCUGUCAACAGGGACGAAACAAGACGGUACCUGAGAAGGAAGCCACGGCAAACUACGUGCCAGCAGCCGCGGUAAUACGUAGGUGGCAAGCGUUGUCCGGAAUAACUGGGCGUAAAGCGCAUGUAGACGGCAUGAUAAGCCAAAUGUGAAAUGUAGGGGCUCAACCCCUGCACUGCGAUUGGAACUGUCAUGCUUGAGUGCAGGAGAGGCAAAUGGAAUUCCCAGUGUAGCAGUGAAAUGCGUAGAGAUUGGGAGGAACACCAGUGGCGAAGGCGAUUUGCUGGACUGCAACUGACGUUGAGAUGCGAAAGCCAGGGGAGCAAACGGGAUUAGAUACCCCGGUAGUCCUGGCCGUAAACGAUGGAUACUAGGUGUAGAGGGUAUCGACCCCUUCUGUGCCGCAGCGAACGCAAUAAGUAUCCCGCCUGGGGAGUACGGUCGCAAGACUGAAACUCAAAGGAAUUGACGGGGGCCCGCACAAGCAGUGGAGCAUGUGGUUUAAUUCGACGCAACCCGAAGAACCUUACCAGGUCUUGACAUUUAUGGAACUUAGCAGAGAUGCUUCGGUGCCCUUUCGGGGGAGCCAUAAAACAGGUGGUGCAUGGUUGUCGUCAGCUCGUGUCGUGAGAUGUUGGGUUAAGUCCCGCAACGAGCGCAACCCUUGAUAAUAGUUGCCAGCAAGUAGUGUUGGGCACUCUAUUGUGACUGCCGUAGAUAAUACGGAGGAAGGUGGGGAUGACGUCAAAUCAUCAUGCCCUAUAUGACCUGGGCUACACACGUGCUACAAUGGGGUGGAACAACGGGAAGCAAGCCAGCGAUGGUAAGCGGACCCCUAAAAACACCUCUCAGUUCAGAUUGCAGGCUGCAACCCGCCUGCAUGAAGUCGGAAUUGCUAGUAAUCGCGGAUCAGCAUGCCGCGGUGAAUACGUUCCCGGGCCUUGUACACACCGCCCGUCACACCACGAAAGUUGGCAACACCCGAAGUCGGUGAGGUAACCUGCAAAGGAACCAGCCGCCGAAGGUGGGGUCAGUAAUUGGGGUGA